This 32671-nucleotide long non-coding RNA is filed under the name Zea mays. Its description in RNAcentral is "long non-coding RNA (ZMAY_LNC005027)". The record is from RNAcentral. Lineage: Eukaryota; Viridiplantae; Streptophyta; Magnoliopsida; Poales; Poaceae.
UGAUGUCCGAGACAUCCACAUAGUCUUUAACAAUAAUCAAAGUGCGGAAAAGAAAUGUAGAUACACACGGCCUACACAGGCAGCCGACUUGGGGUUUGCCGCUAACCCACGCCUAGAACUCAUCGUACUCUUGGAACUCCUGGAAGUCCUCCUCCACGACUUCAUCUUCACCUGAGCAGUGGUUGCAACGCGGACAACCUGGGGGGGGGUUGGUGUGUAAAGCAAGGGUGAAUACACAUCAACAUACUCAGCAAAAUGCCCCGUUUGGCUAUAGUGGACUAGUUUUUAUGUGGAGUUAAGUCAAGCAUUUGCUUUUAGUUGGUCAGGUUAUUAUUUACUAGUAGAAAGCUAGGUUUUAGUAUUAACCCAAGUUACUAACCCGAUGUAUCCUUUCCAAACGGAAAGAAUACCACUUACCAGUACCAUAGUCAUAACCAAAACCAUCAUCCUCGUCACCACCUAUAAACCAUACAUCUCUGAUCAAAGUAUCUCUAAUCAAUGGAGCUCCCUUGGCCGCUCAUAACCGCGAGCACGACUGAUUAUAUCAGUUUCAUAACACUCUGCAGAGGUUGCGCACUUUACCCACAAGUCGUGAUUCCCUCUUGCCUCGGGCCGAUCAAACCCUUAAACACUACCAAGGUGAAUAGACAGAGUCUCACUACGUAGCCUUUACAAAGAUUCCCUGGGGCUGUAGCCGCCCGUUAGGUUUCCUAAAUGCACCGAACUCCUCCCCAAGGGGCGAACCAACCUUGGCAGAGCGAACUGAUAGUCGCCUAGAGGGGGGGGGGGUGAAUAGGGCGAAACUGAAAUUUACAAAAAUAAUCACAACUACAAGCCGGGGUUAGCGUUAGUAAUAAUAAAUGAGUCCGCAAGAGAGGGCGCAAAACAAAUCGCAAGCAAAUAAGGAGAGUGACACGUGGAUUUGUUUUACCGAGGUUCGGUUCUUGCAAACCUACUCCCCGUUGAGGAGGCCACAAAGGCCGGGUCUCUUUCAACCCUUCCCUCUCUCAAACGGUCCCUCGGACCGAGUGAGCUUUCCUUCUUCUCAAUCAACCGGGAACAAAACUUCCCCGCAAGGGCCACCACACAAUCGGUGCCUCUUGCCUCGGUUACAAUUGAGUGUUGAUCACAAGAGCAAAAGAGAAAGAAAGAAUGCGAUCCAAGCGCAAGAGCUCAAAUGAACACGGCAAAUCACUCUCUCUAGUCACUAGGGUUUUGUGUGGAAUUGGAGAGGAUUUGAUCUCUUUGAAUGUGUCUAGAAUUGAAUGCCUAGCUCUUGUAAGUGGUUGAGAAGUGGAAAACUUGGAUGGCAAUGAAUGUGGGGUGGUUGGGGUAUUUAUAGCCCCAACCACCAAAAGUGACCGUUGGCUGGAGGCGUCUGCUCGAUGGCGCACCGGACAGUCCGGUGCACACCGGACAGUCCGGUGCCCCUGCCACGUCAUCACUGCCGUUGGAUUCUAGCCGUUGGAGCUUCUGACUUGUGGGCCCGCCUGGGUGUCCGGUGCACACCGGACAUGCACUGUUUGAUGUCCGGUGCACCGGUAUGGGCAGCCCUGACGUCUGUGCGCGCUGCGCGCGCAUUUAAUGCUGCGCAGAGAGCCGUUGGCGCCGCAGAGAGCCGUUGCUCCGCUGGCACACCGGACAGUCCGGUGCACACCGGACAGUCCGGUGAAUUAUAGCGGAGCGGCUGUCGCGCGAACCCGAGGCUGAUGAGUUCAGGAGGCCGAGCUUCCUUGGAGCACCGGACAUGUCCGGUGCACACCGGACAGUCCGGUGAAUUAUAGCGCGCCGACUUCCGAGAAUUCCCGAGAGUGAAGAGUUGGAGUCUGAGUCCCCUGGUGCACCGGACAGGUACUGUUCACUGUCCGGUGGCACACCGGACAGUCCGGUGCGCCAGACCAGGGGUGCCCUCGGUUGCCCCUUUGCUCCUUUAUUGAAUCCAAAACUUGGUCUUUUUAUUGGCUGAGUGUGAACCUUUUACACCUGUAUAAUCUAUACACUUGGGCAAACUAGUUAGUCCAAAGAUUUGUGUUGGGCAAUUCAACCACCAAAAUUAUAUAGGAACUAGGUGUAAGCCUAAUUCCCUUUCAAUCUCCCCCUUUUUGGUGAUUGAUGCCAACACAAACCAAAGCAAAUAUAGAAGUGCAUAAUUGAACUAGUUUGCAUAAUGUAAGUGUAAAGGUUGCUUGGAAUUGAGCCAAUAAAACUACUUACAAGAUAUGCAUGGAAUGUUUCUUUCUUAUAUAACAUUUUGGACCACGUUUGCACCACAUGUUUUGUUUUUGCAAAUACUUUUUGUAAAUCCAUUUCAAAGAUCUUUUGCAAAUAGUCAAAGGUAUAUGAAUAAGAGUUUGCAAAGCAUUUUCAAGAUUUGAAAUUGUCUCCCCCUAUUUCAAAUGCUUUUUCUUUGACUAAACAAAACUCCCCCUAAAAGAGAUCCACCUCUUAGUGUUCAAGAGGGUUUUGAUAUACAAUUUUUGAAAUACUACUUUCUCCCCCUUUUGAACACAAUAGGAUACCAAAUGAUAAAGACUUUUGGAAAGCACUAAGUUUUUGAAUUUGGUGGUGGUGGUGCGGUCCUUUUGCUUUGGGCUCAUUUCUCCCCCUUUUUGGCAUGAAUCGCCAAAAACGGAAUCAUUAGAGCCCUCGAAGUGUAAUCUUCCCCUUUGGUCAUAAAUAAGUGAGUUAAGAUUAUACCAAAGACGAAGUCCUUUUGCGUUUGAGCUUUUACUCUCUCCCCCAAGGAUGAAGUCCUUUUCCUUGAUGCUCAUUUCUCCCCCAAAGAAGAGAGAGUUGCUCGGAGUAGUGGCGAAGUAUGAGUUACGGAGUGGAAGCCUUUGUCUUCGCCGAAGACUCCAAUUCCCUUUCAAUAUACCUAUGACUUGGUUUGAAAUAAACUUGAAAACACAUUAGUCAUAGCAUAUAAAAGAGAUAUGAUCAAAGGUGUUCAAAUGAGCUAUGUGUGCAAGCUUAGCAAAAGAAAUUUCUAGAAUCAAGAAUAUUGAGCUCAUGCCUAAGUCUGGUAAAAGAUUGUUCAUCAAGUGGCUUGGUAAAGAUAUCGGCUAAUUGAUCUUUAGUAUUAAUGUAAGAAAUCUCGAUAUCCCCCUUUUGUUGGUGAUCCCUAAGAAAAUGAUACCGAAUGGCUAUGUGCUUAGUGCGGCUAUGCUCGACGGGAUUGUCGGCCAUUUUGAUUGCACUCUCAUUAUCACAUAGCAAAGGGACUUUGGUUAAUUUGUAACCGUAGUCCCGCAGGGUUUGCCUCAUCCAAAGCAAUUGCGCGCAACAAUGUCCUGCGGCAAUGUACUCGGCUUCGGCGGUGGAAAGAGCGACCGAAUUUUGCUUCUUUGAAGCCCAAGACACCAAGGAUCUUCCCAAGAACUGGCAAGUCCCCGAUGUGCUCUUCCUAUUGAUUUUGCACCCCGCCCAAUCGGCAUCCGAAUAACCAAGUAAAUCAAAUGUGGAUCCCCGAGGGUACCAAAGCCCAAACUUAGGUGUAUAAGCCAAAUAUCUCAAGAUUCGUUUUACGGCCGUAAGGUGUGAUUCCUUAGGGUCGGCUUGAAAUCUUGCACACAUGCAAACGGAAAGCAUAAUGUCCGGUCGAGAUGCACAUAAAUAAAGCAAUGAACCAAUCAUCGACCGGUAUACCUUUUGAUCCACGGACUUACUUCCCGUGUCGAGGUCGAGAUGCCCAUUAGUUCCCAUGGGUGUCUUGAUGGGUUUGGCAUCCUUCAUCCCAAACUUAGCAAGAAUGUCUUGAGUGUACUUCGUUUGGCUAAUGAAGGUGCCCUCUCGGAGUUGCUUGACUUGGAAUCCUAGAAAAUACUUCAACUCCCCCAUCAUCGACAUCUCGAAUUUCUGUGUCAUGAUCCUACUAAACUCUUCACAUGUAGACUCGUUAGUAGACCCAAAAAUAAUAUCAUCAACAUAAAUUUGGCAUACAAACAAGUCAUUUUCAAGAGUUUUAGUAAAGAGUGUAGGAUCGGCCUUGCCAACUUUGAAGCCAUUAGCAAUAAGGAAAUCUCUUAGGCAUUCAUACCAUGCUCUUGGGGCUUGCUUGAGCCCAUAAAGCGCCUUAGAGAGCCUAUAGACAUGGUUAGGGUACUCACUGUCUUCAAAGCCGGGAGGUUGCUCAACAUAGACCUCUUCCUUGAUUGGUCCGUUGAGGAAGGCACUUUUCACGUCCAUUUGAUAGAGCUUAAAGCCAUGGUAAGUAGCAUAGGCCAAUAAUAUGCGAAUUGACUCAAGCCUAGCUACGGGUGCAUAGGUUUCACCAAAAUCCAAACCUUCGACUUGUGAAUACCCUUUGGCCACGAGUCGAGCUUUGUUCCUUGUCACCACACCAUGCUCAUCUUGCUUGUUGCGGAAGACCCAUUUGGUUCCUACAACAUUUUGGUUAGGACGUGGAACUAAAUGCCAUACCUCGUUCCUCGUGAAAUUGUUGAGCUCCUCUUGCAUCGCCACCACCCAAUCCGAAUCUUGGAGAGCUUCCUCUAUCCUGUGUGGCUCAAUAGAGGAAACAAAAGAGUAAUGUUCACAAAAAUGAGCAACCCGAGAUCGAGUAGUUACCCCCUUAUGAAUGUCGCCGAGGAUGGUGUCGACGGGGUGAUCUCGUUGGAUUGCCUGGUGGACUCUUGGGUGUGGCGGUCUUGGUUCUUCCUCAUCCUCCUUUUCUUGAUCAUUUGUAUCUCCCCCUUGAUCAUUGCUAUCAUCUUGAGGUGGCCCGUCUUCUUGAUUUUGCUCUUCAUCAUUUUGAGCCUCAUCCUCAUUUUGAGUUGGUGGAGAUGCUUGUAUGGAGGAGGAUGGUUGAUCUUGUGUACUUGGAGGCUCUUCGGAUUCCUUAGGACACACAUCCCCGAUGGACAUGUUCCUUAGCGCGAUACAUGGAGCCUGUUCUUCACCUAUCUCAUCAAGAUCAACUUGCUCCACUUGAGAGCCGUUAGUUUCAUCAAACACAACGUCACAGGAGAUUUCAACUAGUCCAGUGGACUUGUUAAAGACCCUAUAUGCCCUUGUGUUUGAGUCAUAACCAAGUAAAAAGCCUUCUACAGUUUUAGGAGCAAAUUUUGAUUUUCUACCUCUUUUAAUAAGAAUGAAGCAUUUGCUACCAAAAACUCUAAAAUAUGAAAUAUUGGGCUUUUUACCGGUUAGGAGUUCAUAUGAUGUCUUCUUGAGGAUUCGGUGAAGAUAUAACCGGUUGAUGGCGUAGCAGGCGGUGUUGACCGCUUCGGCCCAAAACCGGUCCGGUGUCUUGUACUCAUCAAGCAUGGUUCUUGCCAUGUCCAAUAGAGUUCGAUUCUUCCUCUCCACUACACCAUUUUGUUGUGGCGUGUAGGGAGAAGAGAACUCAUGCUUGAUGCCCUCCUCCUCAAGGAAGCUUUCAAUUUGAGAGUUCUUGAACUCCGUCCCAUUGUCGCUUCUUAUUUUCUUGAUCCUUAAGCCGAACUCAUUUUGAGCCCGUCUCAAGAAUCCUUUUAAAGUCUCUUGGGUUUGAGAUUUUUCCUGUAAAAAGAAUACCCAAGUGAAGCGAGAAUAAUCAUCCACAAUAACUAGACAGUACUUACUCCCGCCGAUGCUUAUGUAAGCGAUCGGGCCGAAUAGAUCCAUGUGUAGGAGCUCCAGUGGCCUGUCAGUCGUCAUUAUGUUCUUGUGUGGAUGAUGAGUGCCAACUUGCUUCCCUGCUUGGCAUGCGCUACAAAUCCUGUCUUUCUCAAAAUGAACAUUGGUUAGUCCUAAAAUGUGCUCUCCCUUUAGAAGCUUAUGAAGAUUCUUCAUCCCAACAUGGGCUAGUCGGCGGUGCCAGAGCCAACCCAUGUUAGUCUUAGCAAUUAAACAUGUGUCGAGCUCAGCUCUAUCAAAAUCUACUAAGUAUAGCUGACCCUCUAACACACCCUUAAAUGCUAUUGAAUCAUCACUUCUUCUAAAGACAGUGACACCUAUAUCAGUAAAAAGACAGUUGUAGCCCAUUUGACAUAAUUGGGAAACAGAAAGCAAGUUGUAAUCUAAUGAAUCAACAAGAAAAACAUUGGAAAUGGAAUGGUCAGGUGAAAUAGCAAUUUUACCCAAACCUUUGACCAACCCUUGAUUUCCAUCCCCAAAUGUGAUAGCUCGUUGGGGGUCUUUGUUUUUCUCAUAUGAGGAGAACAUCCUUUUCUCCCCGGUCAUGUGGUUUGUGCACCCGCUGUCGAGUAUCCAACUUGAGCCUCCGGAUGCAUAAACCUACAAAACAAAUUUAGUUCUUGACUUUAGGUACCCAAACUGUUUUGGGUCCUUUGGCAUUAGAUACAAGAACUUUGGGUACCCAAACACAAGUCUUGGAGCCCUUGUGUUUGCCCCCAACAAAUUUGGCAACUACUUUGCCGGAUUUGCUAGUAAGCACAUAAGAUGCAUCAAGAGUUUUAAAUGAAAUGGCAUGAUCAUUUGAUGCAUUAGGAAUUUUCUUCUUAGGCAACUUGGCACGGGUUGGUUGCCUAGAACUAGAUGUCUCACCCUUAUACAUGAAAGCAUGGUUAGGGCCAGAGUGAGACUUCCUAGAAUGAAUCUUCCUAAUUUUGCUCUCAGGAUAGCCUGCAGGGUAUAAAAUGUAACCCUCGUUAUCCUGAGGCAUGGGAGCUUUGCCCUUAACAAAGUUAGACAAGUUCUUAGGAGGGGCAUUAAGUUUGACAUUGUCUCCCCUUUGGAAGCCAAUGCCAUCCUUGAUGCCAGGGCGUCUCCCAUUAUAAAGCAUGCUACGAGCAAAUUUAAAUUUCUCAUUUUCUAAGUUGUGCUCGGCAAUUUUAGCAUCUAGUUUAGCUAUAUGAUCAUUUUGUUUUUUAAUUAAGGCUAGGUGAUCAUGGAUAGCAUCAACAUUAAUAUCUCUACAUCUAGUGCAAAUAGAAACAUGCUCAACAUUAGAUGUAGAGGGUUUGCAAGAUUUAAGUUCUACAACCUUAGCAUGCAACAUUUCAUUCUUAGUUCUAAGGUCGGAAAUAGUAGCAUUGCAAACAUUAAAAUCUUUAGCCUUAGCAAUUAAAUUUUCAUUCUCUAAUCUAAGGCUAGCAAGAGAUGCAUUCAAUUCAUCAAUCUUAGCAAGCAAGUCAACGUUAUCAUCUCUAAGAUUGGUAAUUGAAACAUUACAAACAUGUGAAUCAACCUUAGCAUUUAAAGUAGCAUUUUCAUUUCUAAGGUUGUCAAUCAUCUCACGGCAAGUGCAUAGCUCACUAGACAGUUUUUCACAUUUUUCAACUUGUAGAGCGUAAGCAUUUUUAACCUUAACAUGUUUCUUAUUCUCCUUGAUUAGGAAGUCCUCUUGGGAGUCCAAGAGAUCAUCCUUUUCAUGGAUGGCACUAAUUAGUUCAUUUAAUUUUUCCUUUUGUUCCAUGUUAAGGUUAGCAAAAAGAAUGCGCAAGUUAUCCUCCUCAUUUUUAUCAUCAUCCUCAUCACUAGAUGUUUCAUAUUUAGUGGAGGACCUUGAUUUUACCUUCUUUUUGCCGUCCUUGGCCAUGAGACACUUGUGGCCGACGUUGGGGAAGAGAAGGCCUUUUGUGACGGCGAUGUGGGCGGCGUCCUCGUCGUCGGAGGAGUCGCUUGAGCUUUCGUCGGAGUCCCACUCCCGACAUACAUGGGCAUCGCCGCCCUUCUUCUUGUAAUACUUCUUCUUCUCCUUUCUUCUUCCCUUCUUGUCGUCGCCCCUGUCACUGUCACUAGACAUAGGACAUUUUGCAAUAAAGUGACCGGGCUUACCACACUUGUAGCAAACCUUCUUGGAACGAGGUUUGCAGUCCUUCCCCUUCCGUUGCUUGAGGAUUUGCCUAAAGCUUUUGAUGAUUAGGGCCAUCUCCUCAUUGUCGAGCUUGGAGGCGUCAAUUGGUUGUCUACUUGGUGUAGACUCCUCCUUCUUCUCCUCCGUUGCCUUAAAGGCCACCGGUUGCGCCUCGGAGGUGGAAGGCUCGUCAAGCUCGUUGAUCUUCUUGGAGCCCUUAAUCAUGCAUUCAAAACUCACAAAAUUCCCGAUAACUUCCUCGGGGGUCAUUAGUGGAUAUCUAGGAUUCCCACGAAUUAAUUGUACUUGAGUGGGGUUAAGGAAAAUAAGAGCUCUUAGAAUAACCUUAACCACUUCGUGGUCAUCCCAUUUUGUGCUCCCGAGGUUGCGCACUUGGUUCACCAAGGUCUUGAGCCGGUUGUACAUGUCUUGUGGCUCCUCCCCUUGGCGAAGACGGAAGCGACCGAGCUCCCCCUCGAUCGUUUCCCGUUUGGUGAUCUUAGUGAGUUCAUCACCCUCGUGCGCCGUCUUGAGUAGGUCCCAAAUCUCCUUGGCGUUCUUCAAUCCUUGUACUUUGUUGUAUUCCUCCUUGCUUAGGGAGGCAAGGAGGAUGGUUGCGGCUUGGGAGUUGAAGUGCUCGAUUUGGGCCACUUCGUCCGUGUCAUAGUCCUCAUCCCCUAUUGAUGGUACCUGUACACCAUACUCAACAACAUCCCAUAUUCUUUUGUGGAGAGAGGUUAGAUGAAAUCGCAUCAAAUUACUCCACAUAGCAUAAUCUUCACCAUUAAAAGUUGGUGGUUUGCCUAAUGGGACGGAAAGUAAAGGUGUAUGUUUAGGAAUGCGAGGGUAGCGUAGGGGAAUCUUACUAUACUUCUUGCGCUCUUGGCGCUUAGAAGUGACGGAGGGCGCAUCGGAGUCGGAGGUAGAAGUUGAUGAAGUAUCGGUCUCGUAAUAGACCACCUUCCUCAUCCUCUUGUGCUUAUCGCCUUUCCGAUGCGGCUUGUGGGAAGAAGAUUUUUCCUUCUUCUCUUUGUGGUGAGAAGAAGAUUUCUUCUCCUUCCCUUUGUUGGAGGAGCUCUUCUUCUUCUCCCUCCUUUUGGUGCGGGACUCUUCCGAUGAAGUGCUCCCGUAGCUUGUAGUGGGCUUUUCGCCGGUCUCCAUCUCCUUCUUGGCGUGAUCUCCCGACAUCACUUCGAGCGGUUAGGCUCUAAUGAAGCACCGGGCUCUGAUACCAAUUGAUAGUCGCCUAGAGGGGGGGGGUGAAUAGGGCGAAACUGAAAUUUACAAAAAUAAUCACAACUACAAGCCGGGGUUAGCGUUAGUAAUAAUAAAUGAGUCCGCAAGAGAGGGCGCAAAACAAAUCGCAAGCAAAUAAGGAGAGUGACACGUGGAUUUGUUUUACCGAGGUUCGGUUCUUGCAAACCUACUCCCCGUUGAGGAGGCCACAAAGGCCGGGUCUCUUUCAACCCUUCCCUCUCUCAAACGGUCCCUCGGACCGAGUGAGCUUUCCUUCUUCUCAAUCAACCGGGAACAAAACUUCCCCGCAAGGGCCACCACACAAUCGGUGCCUCUUGCCUCGGUUACAAUUGAGUGUUGAUCACAAGAGCAAAAGAGAAAGAAAGAAUGCGAUCCAAGCGCAAGAGCUCAAAUGAACACGGCAAAUCACUCUCUCUAGUCACUAGGGUUUUGUGUGGAAUUGGAGAGGAUUUGAUCUCUUUGAAUGUGUCUAGAAUUGAAUGCCUAGCUCUUGUAAGUGGUUGAGAAGUGGAAAACUUGGAUGGCAAUGAAUGUGGGGUGGUUGGGGUAUUUAUAGCCCCAACCACCAAAAGUGACCGUUGGCUGGAGGCGUCUGCUCGAUGGCGCACCGGACAGUCCGGUGCACACCGGACAGUCCGGUGCCCCUGCCACGUCAUCACUGCCGUUGGAUUCUAGCCGUUGGAGCUUCUGACUUGUGGGCCCGCCUGGGUGUCCGGUGCACACCGGACAUGCACUGUUUGAUGUCCGGUGCACCGGUAUGGGCAGCCCUGACGUCUGUGCGCGCUGCGCGCGCAUUUAAUGCUGCGCAGAGAGCCGUUGGCGCCGCAGAGAGCCGUUGCUCCGCUGGCACACCGGACAGUCCGGUGCACACCGGACAGUCCGGUGAAUUAUAGCGGAGCGGCUGUCGCGCGAACCCGAGGCUGAUGAGUUCAGGAGGCCGAGCUUCCUUGGAGCACCGGACAUGUCCGGUGAAUUAUAGCGCGCCGACUUCCGAGAAUUCCCGAGAGUGAAGAGUUGGAGUCUGAGUCCCCUGGUGCACCGGACAGGUACUGUUCACUGUCCGGUGGCACACCGGACAGUCCGGUGCGCCAGACCAGGGGUGCCCUCGGUUGCCCCUUUGCUCCUUUAUUGAAUCCAAAACUUGGUCUUUUUAUUGGCUGAGUGUGAACCUUUUACACCUGUAUAAUCUAUACACUUGGGCAAACUAGUUAGUCCAAAGAUUUGUGUUGGGCAAUUCAACCACCAAAAUUAUAUAGGAACUAGGUGUAAGCCUAAUUCCCUUUCACGAACCGCAUACACUGAGCCCCAUUAACGGCACGACGGCGAAGCGAACUGCACCCCAGUUCCUCUAAUUACUCAGCUAAGGGCGUCCCACUCCACCCUCAUAGUUGCACUGUUUUCCCGGGCGGUCAUCCAACGAACAGGUCCUUACGGAGAGACACUCGAGAAACAGCUCGAGUCCCCUUAAUGGCUACAAGUACCAUCAUCAUAAUCAAAAGGGAAAACAACGUAUCAUAGAUAAUCUCAUCAUGUUCAUUGAUUAAUGUGAAGCGCUAGCAUAAAGCUAAACUGAAAUAACCCAACCAGAAUAGGUAAAUAAAGACAAGAUAGACAAAAGCUAGUCAAUCCUUAGGUAUAAACUGUGUAAAUGCGGGGAAUGAAUUAUAAGAAUUAGUAGGACAUAGAUGGGUCAAGGGACACUUGCCUUCACCAACCGACCGCUGCUCAGGGUCUUCACCUGCAACUCCUUUGGACUCCACCAACUGACCGUUAUCUAUACGAGUUUAAACAUACAUUCCACACAUUUAAUACAAAAGAACAGUACACCAUACAAUGGAAUGCAAUAAAUAAACAUACGUUCGACGCAGGGCUCACACCUACGACUAAGCGAGAAAGAGAAAGUAACGGUCGAGGCUACGGUCGAAGAGCGAUCACGUUAGAUGAUUAUAAAUUAAAAUACUCGUCGAAACAUAAUGGUAUUAAUUUAGCCAUCGUGUUUAGCAUAAGGUAAAGUCAUGUUCCAGGUUUAACCAUUAUAAGCAGAUAAAGGUGAAUUAAAGGAAAUGGUUGCGCGGCGAGACGCACGACACAACAUUUAAAUUGAAUUAAGAAAUAAACGACUCGUCGUGCAACGGGGCGCGCAACGAGACUCUUGCAUUAAUUAUAAAUAAACGUUAAGCGUCGCACGACGAAACGCACGACGGCAUACGUCAUCCAAACUGAAUUUAGAAUGGAACGUCCCGUGACUAGGCGCGCGACGUCAUACAUUAAACAACCUGAAAUUAAAUUGGACCGUCGAGCGACGAAGCGCACGACGCAACACAUUAAUAGAAUCUGAAAUUAAACAAAUUCGUCGCGCGAUGAAGCGCGCGACGUAACACGCUAACUAAACAGAGUUUAAAAUUAAUUAAAAACCAAAAAUAAAUCACCGCGCGCGUGGGGCUGCCCACGUGGGAACGCAUUGGGUAAACGGGGGAGCGCGAGGCCGCGCAGGCCGCGUCGAGGCCACGUGAGCCACGCUGGGGGUCCACGUUGCCGAAGGCAGGGGCCGCGCACCGGGGCCGGGACGGUCGCGCGCAGGGGGCCGAGGCUGCCGCGGGGGAGGGCGGGGGCCACGCCGCGGGGAGGGGCGGGGGCCGCACCACAGGGAGGACCGGGGCCGCGCCGUCGGGGCCGAGGCCGCGCAGGGGGGGUGCGCACAGGGGGAAAACAGGGGAGCGCGCAGGGGAAGAAAGGGGAGGGGGAGAGGAAGAGAGAGAGAGGGAGAGGGGAGCUCACCUCGGGGAUCCAAAUUCCGGCGAUCACUAUCUCCAAAACCUAGGGCACCACGGAGAGAGAGAGAGAGAGAGAGAGAGAGAGAGAGAGAGAUGGGAGAGAGAGGGAGGUUGCUGCACGGGAGAAUUGAAUGAGGGGAAGGGACCUGGGAGGGGGCGCACAUAGGGGAGGGCACGGCGCCAGGGGCGCGCGGGCCGAGCUGGGCCGCGCUGUGUCGGGCUGGGCUGGGCCGCACCGCGGGUCAAAACCCCGUGGCACGCACAACCACAGAUCGGAAUCCAAACGCGAAAUGGAAAUCACAACGAGACGAGACGAACACACGAUUAAACACUACAUCAGACAAAGAAAUAUGCUUCGGCAUGAUACAACACCCAUGACACUUAGGUUUUGUUUACACACGAUAUGGACACCAGUCACUACACUGCUUUGAAAUUGGGAAGAAGGAGCGAAACGAGAAAAGAAAAGAGAGUGACGUCUGAAUUUGAUGAGUAAAAAGAAGAAAAAAUUCUACCCCCAAAUUUAGGGUGUUACAGGGUGCUAAGCCUUUUGUUUAAGAUGAGUAAGGGCUCCUUUUUUUCAGGGAAUAAGAAUAAUCCAAAAGUCGCUAGAUUAGGAAAGCAUAGGAUCAAAGUCUUGAACGGACUCAUUCACUGCCUUAGAAUAUGCCCACACUGCGCGCCCUUGACAGUUUGCAUCAGUGUACAUCUUUUCUCCAUUACCCCCACACAAACCAGAUUUGCCUUUUGAAGCACUAGAAAAGCCAAGCAAAACUCCAAAGUGCUCGGGCCUGUGAAAGCUGAAUGAGGGUAGCCUCUCAAUUCCUUGAUAUUAGUAGGAAACAACAUCCCCAAUGUCUUUUGUUUUGGUGGCAUACUUCUGUUUCCAUAUUGUCGGGGCAACAAUAUAAAUAAUCAUUUGGCCCACCCCCAAAGAUGGUUGUCCCCGAAGGGUACCCAAGUUGUUCGGCGAAGCCAAUAGCCUUGGCCAGUUGCUUUGUGCCCAUCAUUUUCCCUACAACGUGAUGAACCUGGUAUCUUCGGCCACCUAAGUCUUGGUCGAAGGGUCCUUCACCAAGUGGUGUAUCAUCUUUGAUCGCUUUCUCGACCACUUCAAAUUUAGCAGAACCUUUUCCUUUGUCUUCCGCCAGGGUAGGCUUGGAGGAACCUUCGGCUACCAUAAUUGCUGAAGGGGUCACCACUACAGUAAUCCAUUCAAAUCCUAGAUUACUUGGACCAGUCCUAUCUGUAGCAGGAAGCAUAGAGUCCUUCAACGCUAGUGUUGUACCAGCAAUAUCUUUCUUAGCUUCAUCUUCGUCAGCUUCGAAGAAUGAACUCAUUACUCGAGCUAUUCGCUCCCCUUCAACUUCUUCCUCGCUCUCUGAAAGUGGCUGUAAAGGCUUAACCCUUUGUGCUAUCAAGGCGAUAACCUCUCUAAUUUUUGCCUCUUCGACUCCCAUAGGAGGGAGUUCUUCAAUCUCAACUGCUACCUUGGCUUCGGGUGCUGCCAAAAAUAUUCAAAACAGAAAAGUAAUAAAAUAAAUUUAUAACCACUAUACCAAAAAACCUAUUUACUAGAUUUCCUUUGAGGCUUGAGGAGUUGAUUUAGCUUGCACCUUUGGAACUUUGCUCAACCUUGUAUUUACUUUCUUCUUUCUCUUCUUGGAAUCCUGAACGUCAGGAUAAAAGAACCUGAUGGCAUCAAAUACACAAUUCAAUCGACGCCUCUUUCAAGCCCCGAAGGCCCGUUGUAAAGCUUCAGCUUUGGGCUUGCUAUAAUUACCAAUCUCAUUACAUCUCACUUAAACAUAAUCUAGCCACCCAUCACUACGCUCUCCAAACUCAUCUUCGGAUCUAUAUUUGUAACGAAGCCUAACCAGCCCAACCUCGGCGUCUAAAGCAUCUCCUUCAUACAUCUUUGGCAUUUCCCACUCAGUCGCUAGUGGCCAUGUCUUAAAAGCUAAGAAUUAUUGAACAAGGUCCCUCGUUCCAAUAUGUGUGUUAACAACAUUAAAAGCAACUAUGGAAGCCCGGGUUUCGAAGUUGAUAUAACACGUCGGCUUUUUAUAACCAAAACAUGUAACAAUAGGAGUUUGAAUAAUGCCUCUUAUAUCAGCUCGUGCAGUCAAAUCAUUCUUCAUAUAAAACCACUUCUUCGCCCAUUCAUUCGGCCACUUGCUUCGGUAAGCAAGAGCCAGAAACAUCAAGCCCGUUCGAUAAGCAAAAUUAUAGCAACCAAAGUUGUUAUGAAGGCCCCUAGUCGUCUUCGUCUGAAAAUGGAGCUCAUGAAUUUGACUGAAGGCUUCACAGAAAGCUUUGGCAUCAUGCUCAAUCCCUUGACUCCGAACAACCCAAAUGAAAAUUUCUAGACACACUAUAGCAUUUGGGGUGAGCUGAUGAAGAUAAAUGUUAAAUCUUUUUAACACCGUGACUAUUGUCUUAUGCAGAGGGAAUCUAAGGCCAGCCUUCAAAAAGCUCUGAAACACAACAACUUCGUCUUCUCUUGGAUUUAGUACUAACUCAUCACCUCCUAAUUGCACCCACUCGACAUUGUCAACAUAACAGAAACAAUUAAGUACUCUAUGUGUCCUCCUUUGAUCUUGGACUUGCCAAAGUCCACAUGGCUUGGCUUCAUGGGACGUAUGAUCGUGUUUUCCUCAAUAUCAACGGUGUCACUGUCUUGCGAUAGAUUCGUAGAGCCGGCCUCGACCCGGGUGGCGAUAGCUCUCGCUGCUAAAGCAAGUUCUUUAGCCCUUGUCUCUGGCACAUUGGACGAAGGUGUCAAUGACAUCUUAGCAGCACACAAAUCUAAAAGCAAGUGAUCUCCAAAUUUGCUAAGGCUGGUUCAAAAGUGGCAAAGAUGUUCGAAGCUAGCUUCGAAGGUGGAGUAGGCACUGGCAGCAGUGAAUGAAAACAACAAAAGUUGUGCCCAUAACGAUGGGUGCCACUCUCUUUUAUACGCACAACCGUUUGGCUCUAACUGUUGAAGUCAAUGACCACUAGGUCCCACUAUUUAAAGCUGUCACUUCAUAACAAGCUUCGGGAAUGUGUUUUCGGACCUUCGGCACAAGGCCUCCUAGUUAAAAACUUUGCGAUCUAAGAUCGUUAUGAAACAACAAAGUCAUCCCACAAGGGGCUACUGUUGGGGGCCUACAUCUGAAUAUUUGUAUUACAUAAUUGUGUAUCAAGAGUACAAUAAAAGGCAUGCCGAAGAUCAAUUGUUUACGAAGAAACGAUCAUCUGUCUAACAUAUAACUUUGGCGUGAAUUAGUGUAUUUCAGGAACAUUUCCACUUGCAGACGAAGCUAACCUUCGAUUUAAAGCAGUGAACAAGGACAAUUCGUUUAUGUGCAAGUAACAAAGACGAUGGCCGGAGGCGAUAACUUCGGGCACGAACCGAAGAUGGCAUUACUGAACAACAAAGGUUGAGACCCGCAAAGCCGAAGACAGAGAAAAUAUGUUAUUGUCCUUGUUGGGGGCCUUCGUCCUCCGAAGGUCCUCAAAAACAUGAUUUGACAAUGCUUUCCAAGUGAAUUAUAUGAACAGGUAUUUUCGGAUUCAGAAUUAUGGAUAUGGAGCACGACCAGGACGAAGGCUGAGCCAGGCGAAGGUCGAAGGCAGCCGAAGCUGUACGCAGGGAAGCUUCGGCGCGAUAGCACAAGGGGGAACCGACUUAAAGAUAAAAAGACUUCGGGGUCCUCAAUAGAUUUCUAUAAACCGUUAACAAAUGUAAUGGACAUGGAUGUAAUUUUACGAGGGCUGCGUCCCGCGUCUAUAAAUAGAUGAACAGUACUCCCGUACUGUUCACGCGGACUUGUCAUUUUGCUUUUGGUGUCACGCUUGUACUCUCCACCUUCUCUCAGGACCGAAGGUACAUUUGUAAUUUGAGAUCAUUUCUGUUUUUCCAUGUUAAUAAAAUAGAAAUGAUUCUUUGGUGAUGCUUAUAUCAUAUUUCAUGCUUUAUGUGAGUCCUUCGUCAUUACUUGCCAUGUUUACGAAGGUAUGUCCCUCAUGACCUUCGUCCGAGACUCAUUAUUUCCCGAGGGGAUAUAAUGCUUCGAAGGACGAAGGACCCUAACAUUUAACACUUUUUAUGUUGCCUUGUUCUUAACUCUAAGAAUUUGAGAACAAGUCUCCAACAUUGGCGCCCACCUCCGGUGAACUCACUUCCACUUCAAGUCUUCGUGAACACCUUCGGAAGCUAUAGACCUUCGCUAUGGCGCCGAAGAAAGCUUCAGCGGCUGGGGCUGCAGCAUUACAACCGCUGGACCACAACCAGGAGACCGUCUCUCUUCGGGAGGCCAGAAGCCAGAAGAGAAAAGCUGUUAGCCCGACGCUUGAGGAACAAGAGCUGGACCAAGAAAUCAGAGAGAUGGAGAUGCUACAUCAACAAGUGCAGAGGAAGAAGGAGAAGAUGGCCCGCCUAGCUGAGUUGCAAAGGCAAAUUGACGAAGCUUCUGAGGAAGUUCGCCAUCUCACUCACGAUGAACAGAACAGAAGGCCUCAGCAGAAAGACCUUCAUCAGGAGGGCUUCGUCAACGAAGACGACUGGUAUGAUAAUUUCCGUCAGGGAAAUUUUGUUUUUGAUGAUGCUUCUCCUCUGUCUGCUGAGCUGCAGGCUACUCCUUGGCCUCCAUCUUAUAAGCCACCCCAGCUCCCCAUGUUUGACGGCCACUCCGACCCGAAGCAAUUCUUGAUGAGCUACGAAGCAACAGUGUCUUCGUACGGGGGCAACGCUGCAGUCAUGGCGAAGUCUUUCGUCAUGGCCGUCAGGAAUGUUGCUCAGACCUGGUAUUCCUCCCUUCGGCCAGGAACGAUCACUUCAUGGCAGAAGCUGAAGGAUAUGUUACUGACCAGCUUUCAAGGAUUUCAAACGAAGCCGGUUACAGCUCAAGCCCUCUUCCAGUGUAUUCAGGAUCACGAAGAAUACCUUCAGGCUUAUGUCCGAAGGUUCUUACGAUUGAGGGCGCAGGCACCAACGGUGCCCAAUGAAAUCGUUGUCGAAGCCAUGAUCAAGGGGCUUCGUCCUGGACCUGCAGCUCAAUACUUUGCUCGGAAGCCUCCUCAGACCCUGGAGAAAUUGCUCCAAAAGAUGGAUGAGUACAUUCGUGCCGACAAUGACUUUCGCCAAAGAAGGGAGGAGGCCUUCAGAUUUUCUGAGAUGACCAGGGGCUUCGCAGGAAGAUACUACCCGAGGCAUGUCCGUUCCAUUCAUAGCGCUCAGAAUGAUGAUAAGGGGAGUCAGCAAAACAGGCCGCAGUGCUCCUCACAGGCUUCGGGGCAACAACAAACUUCCUUUCGGCCACCAGCCCCAAGAGGCAGAGGUGCCAGGGGCUUCGGCGGAAGAUUCGGAGAUCAGCCAAGGAGACUGUUUUGCCUAUUCUGUGGAGAGGGCAAGGGCCACACCACUAGGACGUGCCAUGUUACAAUUCAGAAGCAAAAGGAACUAGCCGAAGCUGCAUCUCAACAAGCUCAGUCAAAGCAGGUUUUGCAUACUGCUUCGUUUCAUCCGCCUUAUGUCCCACAAUACAUAGACAACCACCCUGCGGCUUCUGUAGCUUCGGCAAGUCAACCUCAAGCUUCCUGGCAGCAGCCUCCGCCUCCACCUCCAUUGCAGCAAGGUCAACAGCCAGAAGGGAGUCAAUACGCUCCACAGCAGAGGGACUUCAGAGAACAGUCCGAAGCUCGCACAGUCAACAGCACUGUGCCAGAGUCGAAGCACAUUUAUUGACAUAUCCUACCUUUGAUAGCAGUCUUUUCUAUUCAGUUUUAUUUUCUGUGAAGCAAAAAACAUUGAUAGUUUCCAUAUAAUAAUUUCGUUGUUUCCACGAGAAAAAUUUAUUUGAUCCACAGGCCUAAGUUGCCGAAGCUUAAAAUUUCUUCCGUUACCAAGAAACACCUUCGGACUAAAAAUCCUUCGGAGUAACAAGAAGUCGUUCUAAGGAACGCAGAGUAAGUUUAUAAAGUCACAAAAAGUCGUUCCAAAGGGAGCGCAGCGUAAGUUUUCUGCUCAGAAGUCGUUCCUAAAGGAAUGCAGAGCCUACAGCGAAAAGUCAACGCUGAUACCGUCUAAGUAAAAGACGAAGAAGCUCCUAAGGGAGGCUUACAGCGAAAAGUCAACGCUGAUGCCGUCUAAGUAAAAGACGAAGAAGCUCCAAAGACGUUCCUAAGGGAAUGCAGAGCUUAUGAAUAUAUUUUAUGUGUAUCUUCGGAACAAAUGUCACAUGCAUAACAUAACAUCAUCACAUCAUUUUGCAUAGCAUAAGCAUCAUACAUCAUAUCGCAUUUGGUAAGAGAAGGGGAUACUCUAAACCUUCGAAGGGAUGCUUUGAAAAAGUAACAUUGAAAUUGUAUAGCUUCGGAAUACAGUUUCGGGGAACAUUUUCACGAAACAUGGGCAAGCUUCAUCAGAUCAAUAUCAAAGCUGCAUAGCUUCGGAAAAUAGCUUCGGAAAAUGUUUUCACGAGGCAUCGAUGUCAUUCAUCAGAAUAAUUUGGACGAAGGCUAUCCUCUUCACGACGCAUGAAAAGAAGGGAAGGUGUUUUUUCGCCGAAGGCUCAAAAGUGGUAUGUAUUUAAAGUUUCAUGCAUCGUAAAGAAUUCAAUAAUGAAAAGAGACUUGUAUAUUACAUUCAAAUCUACAAAAUGUUACAUAGAUUACACUUUAAAUGUUUUUUCCAAAUAAGCACCUAUUCUUCCCUCAAUAUUGCUUCGGCGGCUUUAUUCAGAAGUUGGUCAACGACCUUGUCCAUGAUAGUUUCGGCCAUCUGAUUAAUUUCUUCAUCCCCUUUUGUGUGGGGAGAUCGUCCAACAGCUUCUGAGCGUAGAGAACACUUCUUCAGUACUUUUACAAAUCGCGAGCAAAGUUUAAAAUGAAAAUUACAGCGCAACAAGAACGACUAGUUGGUACCUAAUUGUCUUUCGGGCUCCCUACUCUUUUCAGCAGUCUCUGCCACUUUCCUAGCUUCAUGGAUGCCUUUUUCGCUCCUUUCGAUAAUUUCUUGUGCCAUUCCCCGACCGCCGUCGUUCCAGAUAUCAGUAAAAAAUUUGCCAGCAACCACACUUGCUUCGGCCGAGGGGUCCUUGAUAUCUUCGGAGCGUAAGGUAGCUUCGGACUGAGCUAAAAGCUUUACGUGCCCACAACCCUUCUUCUCUAAUACAGAAGUAAUUCCUCUAGCGCCUGAAAAAGCGCAUAUGUCGCCGCGGCUGUUUAGAAUUUCUUCGAAGGCCUCUGCUUCGUGGCUAAUCCAUUCCAGCGGAUCUUCGGGAUUGCCUCGAGAAAAAUUCUCCUCGCUGGAAAUGGCGCCGACGCUAGCAAAGCUGUUUUUAAUUUUAUUCACGCAUUCUAUAGAUUUAACAUAGCAUUUCCUCUGCGAUGUGCGAAGCUCCUUAACUCUUGAUUCCAAUUUAUUGACCAUAAGAUCACUAAGUUCACGAUUCGUUUCCUCAAGCGCGCGCUCCUCUUUAGCUCUAGCCAGUUGUUUCCGAAGAUCUUCAAUCUCGCGUUUUUGAGCUUCGGAUUGGGCCUUUGAAGCGGCUUCGUCUUUUUUCACCUUAUCCACCAAUGUAAGCAGAAUUUUAUCUUUUUCCAAAGCUUCAUUUCUCAGCUUGAUAACUUCGGAGCGUAAAUUAUUAAACGCAAUUUCAUAACUUUCAUCUUCGGCGCUCUUCUGCGCUCUCAGCGCGUUGCUUAGGAUCAGGCCCUAUACGAAAAAGAGUUCAAAUAAGGAAAAAGGAAUGAUGUGCGUAAAAAUAAUAAGGGGGUUUUUUCAAGCGUUUAAUUCCGGUACCUUCAAGCUGUUGUACGCAAGGCUGUCUGCGAGAUCCUCUUUUGUCAUGGCACUUAACCCAGCUUCAAGCUUCGGAAAGCCUAUGCUUCUCGCCAUCUCUCGACAGACAGAUAGUUCCUUAUUAUCCGGUAGGCAGUAUAAGAAGUCAUCUUCAUUUGUCCCAUUGAAUAUUACUGCCCCCUUCGGAUAUUUCAGCUCCUUUGCAUAAUGGUUGGCCUCAUAAGCUUCUUCUUCAGAUAGCUUUUUCCCCGAAGCAUGUCGUAUGAUGUAAUCAUGCAUGCCGGCAGGUGCUUCGGGGAUGACGGUGCCCGUUUCUUCAACUAAUAUUGGUUCCGGAAUUUUUACUGCUCCGGCUUCAAAAGGUUGUUCUUUGAAGGGCUCUGAAGGCCCAGCUUCAGCUUCAGCUUGUUGAGCCGAAGCUUCAGUAGAACCUUCAGCAACAUCAACACUCUUUUUUGAAAUUGUACUUGAAGACUUAAUCGUCUCCAAGACGUCUAGUACAUUUACCAUUCUUUUCCUUUUUGGGGUCACUAAUGGCCCCUUUUGGUGUUUUGCUGUCCCAACGAUUGCUGUAGGACUCAAAACUUCUAAUGUUUUGGAGCCCUCAGUUGCUUCUCUUACUUCCUCAAUUUUUUCUGUAAGCGGCGCUUCGGUUUUCUCUUUUGUUUCUGACAACAAAAUGUUUGAUUGUUCUAAUUCAAUCUUUGGUGGCACUUCGGCCGUUUCUGCGAUCUCUGGCAACAAGGCUGACUUGAUUAGUUUUUCAGCUUCGGUGGCUGAAGAAGUUUUCCCGGUAAACUCCGGCACCGAAGCUGGUUCAAUAUGGCGUGGUCGAUGUGUGAAGACCUUCAACCUUUUUCCUUUUGAUUCUGGCUCGCUAGGAGCGGUUCCAGCUUCUUCCUUUUCAGAGAUUAUAUUUUUCCUUUUUUGCCUUCGGAUGGGAUAACAAUAAUCAGGGUAGAAGAACCCGAUUGCAUCAAACACUCGGUUCAGUCUCUUCUUCUUUCGGCCUCCGAAGGCUGCUGAUAGUGCAGUAUUUUCAGCCUUCGAGUAUGCCCCAAGUAAUUCAUCACUUAAUGUUUCAAUGCUUUUCAGCCAGUCAUCAUCAGGUUCAAUAAAUUUAUCUGCAUAUUUGAAUGUGUAUUUUAAUCUGACUAGUCCGCCUUCGUCGGACUCUUUGAUGGUUUCUUUCGGCAUUUCCCACUUUUCUGCAAGUGGCCAUACCCUGAAGGCAAUGUGCUCCUGGACCAAGUCCCUUGUCCCAAUGAAGGAGCAGACUGCGCCGAAGGCUCUUUGGCAUUCUUCGGCUGCCUCAUCCAUUUCAACCUUCGGCCUUCGAAGUCCGAAGCGUUGCCAAAUUGGGUACAUAAUGAUACUUUUGACAUUAUUUUGCGCUGUUAGAUCAUUUUUCACAUAAAACCAUUCAGACAUCCAGGCUCCGGGCCACCUCUUCCGAAAGGUUGGCACAGGGUAGCUUGACCCGGAGCGGGCGCCGAAGCUGUAGCACCCAAAGUUGUUGUGGUAUUGCUCCUUUCCCCAGGGCUUUGUCUCAUACAAUAACUCAUGUAUGUUGCAGAAGCUUUUAGCGUUUGGCUCCAAACCUUGGCUUCUCACAGCCCAGACAAAAAUCCCCAUUCUUAUAAUAGCUUCGGGAGUGAGUUGAUGAGGGUAGAUUUGGAAUGUUUUCAGUACCUCAACAACAAAAUUGCUCAGGGGGAAUCGAAGCCCAGCCUUGAGGAAGCUUCGGAAAAUCACAACUUCAUCCUCUUCAGGGGUGGGAGAAGUCUUUUCCCCGGCAUCAGCUCUCACAAUAGAUAUAUCUCGGAAGUAUCGCCCCCUCAUAUUAUCAAUGUGACUUUGCUUAAUGGUUGUUUUCCCAAAAACUGAGUGACUUGGUCGCCACGGUCGAUCUUCGGCCUCUUCCCCAUCACUUUCUACAUCAUAGCUGUCGCUAUCAUCAGUAUCUUCGGACAAACCUUCGAGAAUCUCCUUCGUGAUCUUCUCUGUAUUAGUCUCUGCCAUCGCUAUCAGGAACCCCAGAUUCUUCUCCUCCUCGAGACUCAGCUUCGUCUCAGCAGGGAUCUUCUUGUCUUCAGACAUCUUCGGAAACACUAAAAAUUUGUUCCCGAGGCCGAAGCUUCGAAGUCAAAAAGACCAGCAAAUCUCAAUGAACAAGAGCUAAAAAUUUUUAGUGGGCCGAAGCAAAAGGCAAGCGUGUGUACCAAAUGAAUUCACGAUGUGUUCUUAUUUAUACGCCUAGGGCGUUGAAAGUUAAAAGGCCCCGCUUGUCAGUGAAUGUUGCUAUUCUAGCAAGGGGAAGGUGUUUUUUCGGACCUUCGGCUCAAGGCCUUCGUCCGUAUCGCAAUCUGAAUUUAUUAUUUACAAAUUAAUAUUGCGAGGGGCUACUGUUGGGGGCCUUCGUCCUCCGAAGGUCCUCAAAAACAUGAUUUGACAAUGCUUUCCAAGUGAAUUAUAUGAACAGGUAUUUUCGGAUUCAGAAUUAUGGAUAUGGAGCACGACCAGGACGAAGGCUGAGCCAGGCGAAGGUCGAAGGCAGCCGAAGCUGUACGCAGGGAAGCUUCGGCGCGAUAGCACAAGGGGGAACCGACUUAAAGAUAAAAAGACUUCGGGGUCCUCAAUAGAUUUCUAUAAACCGUUAACAAAUGUAAUGGACAUGGAUGUAAUUUUACGAGGGCUGCGUCCCGCGUCUAUAAAUAGAUGAACAGUACUCCCGUACUGUUCACGCGGACUUGUCAUUUUGCUUUUGGUGUCACGCUUGUACUCUCCACCUUCUCUCAGGACCGAAGGUACAUUUGUAAUUUGAGAUCAUUUCUGUUUUUCCAUGUUAAUAAAAUAGAAAUGAUUCUUUGGUGAUGCUUAUAUCAUAUUUCAUGCUUUAUGUGAGUCCUUCGUCAUUACUUGCCAUGUUUACGAAGGUAUGUCCCUCAUGACCUUCGUCCGAGACUCAUUAUUUCCCGAGGGGAUAUAAUGCUUCGAAGGACGAAGGACCCUAACAUUUAACACUUUUUAUGUUGCCUUGUUCUUAACUCUAAGAAUUUGAGAACAAGUCUCCAACAGUCCUUAUAUCAUUUGUAAACAGUGUAUGUAAAACCUUGAUGGGCAUUAUUGUAAAUCUAUACAAAUGUGGUUCGUCUGCCCUAUAAAUAGAUGAACAGUGUCAUACAUAUAGUACCUUUUAAAGGGCCAUAGCUUCAUGUCGCUUAGCCUUCGAAGAACCUUUGUGCAUCCCUUUGUCCAAGAGCCGAAGGUAUGCUUGUAAAUUUAUCUAUUGUAGUGAAAGAUGUAAUAAGAAUGCUAAUACAAAAGGAGAUAAGUUCUCAAACAUUACUGUAUUGUUUCACCGUACAUCCUUUCCAUUACAUUUCUAUCUGAGGUCCUUCGUCCUUCGAAUUAACACUCCAAAGAAGGUGUUAUACUUAGGAAGAAGAUCUUUAUACCUAAUUUGUGUUGCUUUAAUUCUCAACGUCUCUAGGGGAUUGAAAUCAAGUACUCAACACAUACAUAAUAACUGCAACAUAACAACUAGGUAAUAUAGAAACUGUAUGAAACAUAUAUAAUAAGUGUACAAAACAUUCAUAUAUUAUACAAUUUCAUACAAGAAUAAAUUGAAGUUAUGAUCUUCGAUGUUCCAUCAUUGUGGGGGAAGCAUUUUUCAUCCUGCUUUCCCUUGACAUAUGUUGGGGGCUUGUUACUGCGUGUAGUGCGACAAACUGCAGAUGGUUGAGUGCCCGCAGGUGUAACAUGACACUUUUUCUUGUGGGAUUGGAUGGGGGAAUGUGGGGGUCAGCAAAUGAAAUGCGACGUUUGUCUUUUGGUGGAGGCAUACAAUCAUCAUCAGUACUUAUUGUUCCAAUAGGUGUAGCACGCACCUUUUGUUCUAGUUUUUUUUCUUCCACGACAAGCUAGCGCUUUCCUGCAACGACGGAGGUCUUGGGUUUUCUGAGGAUCCACAGGCUGCUUCACCUCUAGCUAUGUGUAUUCAUGCACUCCAGGUGAUUCUGGACUAAAGUUGACUCUAGUUGGACGAGGGAUGUCGACAGAAAAUACUUCCUAGCUUGACUCGAUUGUGAUUCACUUGGCGUUUGGUGGAGGACGGUCUACUGUCUUCAUGAUCUGCAUUUAUUGAACAAUACUUCCACUACAGUUGGGAUAAAAUGAUAUGGAUGCCAUAAUAAUAGGAAAACUAUUUGUUGGGGGCCUUCGGCUUCCGAAGGUCCUCAAAAACAUGAUUUAACAAUGUUUCUGGAGAAUGAUACAUGAACAGGUACCUUCGGAAUUAGGUCAAAACCACAGUCUGAAGAAGCACAAAGAAUACGAAGGAUGGCGCAGAGCCGAAGCUGUUCGCAGGAGAGCUUCGGCGUGAUAGCAGAAAAGGAAACUGACUUAAAGGGGGAAAGACUAUUUAGACCCCAAUGAAUUACUAUAGAGUUAUUAGCAAAUGUAAAGGGCAUGGGUGUAAUUUUACAUGGGCUGCGUCCCGUGCCUAUAAAUAGAUGAACAGUGCUCCCGUACUGUUCACGCUGACUUGGCAUUUGCUUUUGCGUCACAUUUGUACUUUUGUUCUCUUUUAAGCCGAAGGUACACUUGUAAUUUAAUGUCAUUUCUAUUCUAUGUUAAUAAAAUAGAAAUGAGUUAAUAAUAAUAUAUAAAUGUUCCUCAUAUCUUUCGUACAUCAUGCAUUUAACAUUUUCACUAUCAUAUGCCGUAAUGAUGAAGGUAUGUCCUUCAUGACCUUCGUCUGAAAAUCAUUAUCUCUCAAGGGAAAUAAUGCUUCGAAGGACGAAGGACUUUAAUAUUUAACAUUUUCUGUGUUGCCUUGUUCUUAACUGAUAGCAUUUGAGAACAAGUCCCCAACAUUGGCGCCCACCUCUGGUGAACCCUUUUUUGACCACCUUCGGCAAGCAUCGACCUUCGUCAUGCCGCCAAAGAAAGCUUCAGCAACAGGGCCUGCUGCUCUGCAGCCGCUGGACCCAAACCAGGAGACCCUUUCUCUUCGGGAAGCACGAAGCUAGAAGAGGAAUGCCACCAGUCCAACGCCUUAGGAGGAUGAUUUGGACCAAGAAAUUAGGAACAUGGAAAUGCUGCAUCAACAAGUGCAAAGGAAGAAAGAAAAGAUGGCCCGGCUAGCCGACCUAUAAAAGUAGAUAGACGAAGCCUCUAAAGAAGUUCGUCAUCUUACGCAAGAUGAGCAGAACCGGAGGCCCCAGUACAGAGAGCUUCACCAAGAGGGCUUCAUCAACGAGGAUGACUGGUAUGAGGAUUUCCAUCAGGCCCCGUUUGUUUCCUUUCAUUUCGAGGAAUUGGAAUCUUACUAAUGGAAUAAGCUAUUUUUUUAGAAUAUGACAUUCCACCACUUUCCAAAGUUAUCAUAUAAGCCUACCUCAAAUUCAUGGGUUGAGAUAUGGAAAUUGAUUCUAUAGAUUUACAUGUUAUUUUUCCGAUGUACAACUUAUAGCACAUUCUUCUACUUACGCCUCUAUAACAUAAAUGUAGUAUAUAACUAUCUCUCUCAUAUGAUUUAGGAUAAUAUACAAAUAUAUUACAUAUAUAAAUAUAUAAACUUAAUUAGUUUUGUCUAAAUUAUAAUUAUUAAAAUGGAAUUCAAUUCCAACGAAACAAACGGGCCCUCAUGGAAAUUUUGCUUUUGAUGAUGCUUGUCCUCUGUCAGCAGAACUGCAGGCUACACCUUGGCCCCCGUCUUACAAACCACCUCAGCUCCCAAUGUAUGACGGACACUCAGAUCCGAAGCAAUUUCUGAUGAGCUACGAAGCAACCAUAUCUUCAUAUGGUGGCAAUACUGCAGUCAUGGCGAAGUCCUUCGUCAUGGCAGUCAAAAGUGUUGAACAGACCUGGUACUCUUCUCUUCGGCCAGGGACAAUCACAUCGUGGCAAAAGCUGAAGGACGUGCUCAUCACCAGCUUUCAAGGGUUUCAGACGAAACCGGUCACUGCUCAAGCUUUGUUCCAGUGCUCUCAGGAUCAUGAAGAAUACCUUCAGGCGUAUGUCCGAAGGUUCUUACGACUGAGGGCGCAGGCGCCAACAGUGCCUAAUGAAAUUGUUAUCGAGGCCAUGAUUAAGGGGCUUCGGCCAGGACCUACAGCCCAAUAUUUCGCCAGGAAACCCCCUCAGACCCGGGAGAAACUGCUUCAGAAGAUGGAUGAAUAUAUCCGAGCAGAUAAUGACUUUCGGCAAAGGAGGGAGGAAGCUUACAGGUUCUCCGAAAUGACCAGGGGCUUCGGAGGGAGAAUCCACCCUAGGCACGUCAGAUCUAUCCAUUCUACUCAGACUGACGAUAGGGGGAGUCAGCAACAAAGGUCGCAGUAUUCCUCUCAAGCUUCGGGGCAGCAGCAGAACUAUCCUCGGCCUCCAGCUCCAAGGGGCAGAGGCGUCAGGGGCUUCGGAGAAAGGUUUGGGGAUCAGCCCAGGAAAAUUUACUACCUAUUCUGCGGUGAGGACAAGGGACAUACUACCAGGAUGUGCCAUGUCACCAUUCAAAAACAGAAAGAGAUAGCCGAAGCUGCAACACAACAGAGCCAGCCGAAGCAGGUUAUGCAUACUGCUUCGUACACCAUACAUCCCAGAGUAUGUGGGUAACCAUCCUGCAGUUUCUGUUGCUUCGGCAAGCAAACCUCAGGCAUCUUGGCAACAACCCCCACCUCCACCACCAAUGCAACUCGCUUAUCCCCAAGGCCAGCAGCCAGAAGGGAGCCAACAGCCAGAAGGGAGCCAGCACAAUCACCAGCAGAGAGACUUUAGGGAGCAGUCUGAAGCUCGCACAGUCAACAGUACUGUGCCAGAAUCAAAUCACAUCUACUAAGAUGUAUCCUACCUCUGAAACACCUUUUACAUUUGUUAUCAUUUACCUUUUCAAUAAAGAGCAAUCAUUGAGAUCUUAUUUCUUUUGUUGUUUUCAAUUUAUUGUAAUUGCUUUGUCAUUAUCAUAAUGAAUAUACCUUCUUCAAACAUCGACGAAGCUCUAAAGGUCUUGACGAAGGAAUGCAUUGCAAGUUUUUGUUGAAGCAACAAAAGUCGUUCUUAAGGGGACGCAGCGUAAGUUUUCUGCUCAAAAGUCGUUCCAAAGGGAAUGCAGAGCUUACAGCGAAAAAUAAACGCUGAUAUCGUCGAAAUAAAAGGCGAAGAAGCACCUAAGGGAGGCUUACAGCGAAAAAUAAACGCUGAUACCGCCGAAAUAAAAGGCGAAGAAGCUCCUAAGAGAGGCAUACAGCGAAAAAUAAACGCUGAUACCGCCGAAAUAAAAGGCGAAGAAGCUCCUAAGAGAGGCAUACAGCGAAAAAUAAACGCUGAUACCGCCGAAAUAAAAGGCGAAGAAGCUCCUAAGGGAGGCUUAUAGCGAAAAGUCAACGCUGAUACCACCGAAAAAUAAACGGCAAAAAGAUUGUGUGCUCCACUGGGGAAUGUGUGUGGGCCUUCGGCGCAAAUAUCAUUUUUGCAUGUCAUUACAUCAUUACAUCAUAUGCAUAGCAUAGCAUCAUACAUCAUAUUGCAUCAAUGGCACAAGAAGGGGAUGCAAUGUUAACCUUCGGAAAGGAAGACAAUGUUGACUUACAAUAUUGAGCUUCAGAGAUCGUUUCGAAGAAGUGCCAAGGCACAAAACAAGUUUUCAAGGAAUACAACUUCGUCAUUUUAAUAUGAAAAGGAGAUCCAUUGUUCACAAAGCAUAAUAUUUUUUCGGAAACUGUAUAUAUUUACGGAAUAUGGAUAUUCUUCAUGAAGCAUGAAAAGAAGGGAAGGUGUUUUUUCGCCGAAGGCUCAAAAACGGUAUGUACGUAAAGUUUCAUGCAUCGUAAAGAGUUGAAUUGUAAACAGCUUAUAUAUUACAUUCAUAAUUAUAAAAUAUUACACACAUUGUCCAGCAAAACAUUACAUUUCAAAUGUCUUCAAAAUAACAGCUAAUCUUCUCUUAAAACUACUUCGACAGCUUCGUUUAAUAGUUGAUCAACAACUUUAUCCAUAAUAACUUCGACCAUUUUCUAUUCGUCAUCCUCCUUUGCUUUGGGGUUCGCCAAUGGCUCGGCGGGCUCUGGGGGAGGAGAUAGUAAGGCUGUAAUGCAAACCAUAAAUAAGUUCGAAGUCAUAAAAUUAGAACAUAAAGUCAAAAGCUAUUAAUUAAUACCUAUUCGACUCUCAAGAUCCGCACUUUUCUCAGCGGCCUCUGCUACUUUUCUAGCAUCGUGAAUACCUUUUUCACUUUUCCUUAUAAUUUCUUGAGCCAUCUCCCGACCGCCAUUUUCCCAGAUGUCAGUGAAAAUUUUUCCACCAACCAAGCUUGCUUCGGCUGAGGGGUCUUUUAUACCAUCAAUGCAUAAGGCAACCUCGGUCUGUGCCAAGGAUUUCACAUGUUCGCAGCCUCUCCUCUCCAAGAUAGCGGCUAUUCCCCUAGCACCCGAGAAGGCGCAUAUGUCCCCACGGCCACUCAAAAUUUCUUCAAAAGCUUCGGCCUCGCCGUUGAUCCAGUCAAUUGGACCUUCGGGGUCUCCCAGUACGAAGUUGCCUUCAUUCGAAUAUGCGCCGACACUGGCGAAACUAGUCUUAAUUGUUUUCACACAUUUCAUGGAUUUUUCAUAACAUCUUUCUUUUGAAGACCGAAGUUCUGCAGUUGUUUUCUCCCAAUGAUUUUUCCAAUAAUCGCUGGCGUCUCGGUCAGCUUCGGCAAUUGUACACUUUAGUUUCGCUACAGCCAGCUGUUUCUGAAGAUUUUCAAUUUCACACUUCUAGGCUUCAGCUUGGGCCUUGGAAGCAGCUUCGUCUUCUUUUAUUUUACUAAGCAAUGAGUUUAAUAUUUUAUCUUUCUCAAGACCUUCGUUCCUUAGCUCAAUCACUUCGGAACGAAGGUUAUUCAACGCCAUGGUACAUCCCUCGUCUUCAGCGCUUUUCUGCGAUCUGAGGGCAUUGCUAAGAAUAAGGCCCUGUAAAAGGAAUAUGGUAUUAAAAAUAAGCACACAAAUUUUUAAGCAUACAGAAAGUUUAUUUUCUCACCUUUAAGCUGUUGUACGCCAAGCUGUCGGCCAAAUCAUCUUUUGACAACACUGAGAGCCCGUCUUCUAGUGUUGGGAAUCCGAAUCUUCUUGUCAUCUCCCGGCAGACAAAUAUCUCCUUGCUGUCUGGGAGACAGUAUAAGAAGUCUUCUUCUCCGCUGCCAUUGAAAAUCAACGCCCCCUUUGGAUAUUUCAAUUUUUGGGCAUAGAACUGAGCCUCUUGCUUUUCUUUUUCAGUCAACUUUUUCCCCGAAGCAUGUCGUAAAAUAUAAUUGAAAGCUUCGAAAAAUGCUUCGGGGGCGACAGUGCCAGUUUCUUCAGCCAAAAUUUGUUCUGCUACUUCUGUUUCUUUGGUUUCCAAGGAUUUCACAUUGGUGGGCUCUGAAGGACCAGCUUCAGUCUCAGCUUGGUGCUUUGUAGUUUCGGCACUAAAGGCUUCAAUUUGCACUUCGGGGGUUUCGACAAUUUUCUUCGUAGUAGUGCUUGAAGACUUUAUUGUCUCCAGCACAUCCAGAACGUUGACCAUUCUUUUUCUUUUGGGGUCACCGCUGGUCCUUUCUGAGUUUGUGGCGCUCCAACUUCUGCCGAAGGGCUUAAAAUAUCUGAUAUUUUUGUCCCUUCAGCUUUCAGCUCUUCAAUUCUUUCAGCCUUCGGUGUUGCAGUCAGCUCUUCAGUUUUCUGCGCAGGUAUAGGUUUUUUUGGCUUUAGUAGCCGAAGAAGCCUCGCCGACAAACUCGAGCACUAUAGCCGGUUCAAUAAAGCGCGGUCGGUGAGUAAGGACUUUUAUCCUUUUCCUCUUCGGCACAGGCUCGCUUGGAGCAGCUGAAGCAUCGUCUUUCCCGGAAGUUGCCUCUUUUCUCUUUCGCCCCCGUAAAGGGUAGCGGUAGUCAGGGUACACAAACCCAAUAGCAUCAAAAACUCGGUUUAAUCUUUUCUUCUUUCGGCCUCCGAAGGUCGCGGAUAACACAGUAUCUUCUGCCUUUGAGUAUGGCCCAAGCAAUUCAUCGCUUGUAGCUUUAAUACAUUUCAGCCAAUCAUCAUCUGGCUCGACAAAUUUACCCUCGUAUAUGAAGGUGAACUUCAUCCUAAUCAGUCCACCUUCGUCAGGCUUGGUGAUAGUUUCUUUUGGCAUUUCCCACUUUUCUACAAGUGGCCAAACUCUGAAAGCUAUGUGCUCUUGGACUAAAUCCCUCGUUCCGAUGAAAGAGCAGACUACGCCGAAGGCCCUCUGGCAUUCUUCGACUGCUUCGUCAACAAUCACCUUCGGCUUCCUAAGGCCGAAGCGCUGCCAGAUAGGACGCAUGAUAAUAUCUUUGAUGUCUUCUCGUGCCUUUAAAUCAUUUUUUACGUAAAACCAUUCCUUCAUCCAGUCCCCAGGCCAUCUUUUCUGGAAGGUUGGCACGGGACAGCUCGAGCCAGAGCGAGAGACGAAGAUAUAACAGCCAAAAUUGUUAUGAUAUUGCUCUUUGCCCCAGGGCUUUGUCUCAUAUAACAAUUCAUGCAUAUUGCAAAAGCUUUUUGUACUUGGCUCCAAGCCCUGGCUCCUCACGGCCCAGACGAAGAUUCUCAUUCUUAUGAUUGCUUCGGGCGUAAUUUGAUGAAGGAAGACUUGAUAGAUCUUUAAAACAUCAACCACAAAUUUGCUUAAUGGAAACCGAAGCCCAGCUUUAAAAAAGCUUCGGAAGAUCACAACUUCAUUCUCUUCGGGAGUAGGCACAGUCCUUUCUCCGUCAUCAGCCCUUACAGUAGACAUGUCCCGAAAAUAUCUUCCCCUCAUAUUAUCGAGAUGACUCUGUUUAAUAGUUGAUUUUCUAAAAACUGCAUGACUUGGUCGCCAGGGUCGAUCUUCGGAGUCUUCUCCGCCACUUUCCACAUCAUAACUGUCACUAUCACCAGUGUCUUCAGAUAAACCUUCUAAAAUCUCCCUGGUAAUCUUCUCUGUAUUUGUCUUUGCUAUCAAUUCAAUAAAGCCAAGAUUUUUCUCCUCAGAAAGGCUCGACUUCAUUUCAGCAAUAGCUUUUUUGUCUUGAGACAUCUUCGGAAAUGUUGAAAGCGUGCUCUUAAAAGCCGAAGCUAAAGAAAAUCUAAAAAGCCAGGCAAGCGUUGGUGUGCAAAGAACUAAAAAUUAGGAAGGCAAGAGCAGACGACAAUAAAGCGUGCUAAAUGUGCUCGCGGUGCGCUCUUAUUUAUACGCCCAAUACGUUGCAAGUGGCAGGGUCCCGCUUCUCAUUGACUAUUGUUAUUCUAGCAAAGGGAAGGUGUUUUUUCGGACCUUCGGCUUAAGGCCUUCGUCUAUAUCGUAAUCUGAAUUUAUCAUUCUAACAAAUUAAUAUUGCGAGGGGCUACUGUUGGGGGCCUUCGGCUUCCGAAGGUCCUCAAAAACAUGAUUUAACAAUGUUUCUGGAGAAUGAUACAUGAACAGGUACCUUCGGAAUUAGGUUAGAACCACAGUCUGAAGAAGCACAAAGAAUACGAAGGAUGGCGCAGAGCCGAAGCUGUUCGCAGGAGAGCUUCGGCGUGAUAGCAGAAAAGAAAACCGACUUAAAGGGGAAAAGGCUAUUUAGACCCCGAUGAAUUACUAUAGAGUUAUUAGCAAAUGUAAAGGGAUGAGUGUAAUUUUACAUGGGCUGCGUCCCGUGCCUAUAAAUAGAUGAACAGUGCUCACGUACUGUUCACGCUGACUUGACAUUUGCUUUUGCGUCACAUUUGUACUUUUGCUCUCUUUAAAGUCGAAGGUACACUUGUAAUUUAAUGUCAUUUCUAUUCUAUGUUAAUAAAAUAGAAAUGAGUUAAUAAUAAUAUAUAAAUGUUCAUGAUAUCUUUCGUACUUCAUGCAUUUAACAUUUUCACUAUCAUAUGCCGUAAUGAUGAAGGUAUGUCCUUCAUGACCUUCGUCUGAAAAUCAUUAUCUCUCAAGGGAAAUAAUGCUUCGAAGGACGAAUGACUUUAAUAUUUAACAUUUUCUGUGUUACCUUGUUCUUAACUGAUAGCAUUUGAGAACAAGUCCCCAACACUAUCAUUGAUUAGAUACAUUUAUAUUAGACAAAAUGUAUUCUCAAUGCAUAAUAAAAAGGACAUAAAUUUUUUGGUUCAGUGAAUGCAAUUCAAUUGUGCAUGACGUGUUUGUCUCUGACUGCAUGAAUCUAGAAUAAUUCCCAUAACAAAAAUGCUACAAAAAAUCACUUGAACGAGAAAAUUGUGCAUAUCUGAAAUAAAAAAUAGGAAACCCUAUCUUCGCAAUGAAUAGUGUGGAAACCCCAUCAAUUGCUCUAGGUAUAUAUAAACUACAUGAAUGAGUAUAUAUACUGUAAACCCUAACCAUAAACUAUUUUGGAAAAAAUCAAUACCAAGUGUACAAAAUUCACGUAAUUAAUUAGCUGAUAGACUUCAUUAAUCAUAAAACCAAACAUGCAUUGUUACUGUCGACACAAAACAAAAUAUAUGGGUGUUUUCUAGUUUGGGGAAAACUACAUAAUUGAAUGAUAGAUUUGGAUUUGUAUUUUAAUUUACCCAAAAAUACUUACCUGAUACUUAAUGACUAUAGUUUGGCCCAUGGUAUGUACACUACCGAUAAGUAUAUAUAUUGUAAACCUAACCAUAAAAAGUGGGGGAAUUGCAAAACCGAGUGAAAGCAAUUAAUUUGGUUGCUAUUUUUCGUUAAUCAUCAAACCAAACACACAUUGUUACUCCGCCACCCUAAUGAAACAAAAAAAGAGUAUUAAUCUCUAGGGCGGGAUGGGUUUUUCUAAAAAAACAACCGAAUCGAUGAAUAUGGGACUGAUUUGUGUUUCAGAUAGGUUGAAGUUAGGGUUUGGUGAUGGUGGCAAGCUUAGAAUAUAAUGGAGAAAAAAAUACCUUCAAUGCGCGCGGCUCAGUGGGCCUUAUUGCUCGGUGGGGGGUUGGGAUGAAAGGGUCGAUCAGCCUCAACCAGGGCUUCUCAGACGGCCUCCGAUGCUACAAUGCGCGUGGCUUGGAGGUUGAAGACGGUGGCGGAAGUCGAAUCGUCUGUCCGUCUCCUGGUCCAUCACCUGGUCGCAACCGCCUCCGACUGGGGUCGUGGCCUCGUGGGUUUGCAGCGAAUGGAAAGAAGGAAACCGCG